Bos taurus (domestic cattle) is the source of this 3319-nucleotide long non-coding RNA. The record is from Ensembl. Lineage: Eukaryota; Metazoa; Chordata; Mammalia; Artiodactyla; Bovidae.
AAUUUGCCAAAUAGGACUCCUCUUGCAGGUUCAUACAAAAUGAGUGUGGAGCCAAGCUGCUUAAUGAGUAAGCUAGUCUAUGGAAAUCCUAUAGGAGGCUUCUAGUCUAUGGAAAUCCUACAGGAGGCUUCUAGUCUAUGGAAAUCCUAUAGGAGGCUUCUUGAAGAGUUUAAUAGAGGGGAUCUUCCCGACACAGGGAUGGAACCCGCGUCUCCUGCAUUGGUAGGCGGGUUCUUUGCCACUGAGCCACCAGGGAAGCCAGCAUUUUUGGGGGAGGACGACUCAUACUGGUUCAAACUCAUGUUGUUCAAGAGUCAACUGUUGUACUUCUUACAUUGAACUAUAAGGGACGGGGAAACGUGCCCGAGAGACGCUCACAGGGAUUUUCGCCUCUUCUCUCUCCAAAACUGUUUCGAGGAGCAAAUAACCGAGCGCAUGAGGCAGCUCUAAUGAGCCCUGUGAUUCGGUUAGGAGACUGCGCGCUGAAAGCGUCGCCCCGAGGACAACGUGACGCCCCGCCUUCCCGCCGCACUUGGGAGGUGCGCGCGCACCCGGGAAAGCGCGCCCAGGGGUGGGACCGCGGAUGUGCCCGGAGACAGCAUGGCGGCUCCGGCGUCGGGAACCCGGAGCGCAAGCCGGAGGCCCGCUACGGUGGCCCGCGGGGGCCCUUAUAGUGUUAGAACGCUGACUCCCCUUCGGCUCCUGGUGGAGCAAAGGGAAUUUCCACCCAGGGAUCAGAAGAACCCUGAGCGGUCGCGGGGCCGAACAGCCAGGACCACCAGAAGAGGACACCCCCAGCUGGCCAGAGUCGGAGGAAGAAAGAAGAGCAAGGCCAUUCAUUGAAUUUCUUCAUUCCCUCGUGAGCACCGACAAACUUCGGUUUGUUCUUGAUAGUGACUCUUUUCCGCGAUCUGUAAAGGGAAGUUCUGUUUCCGGAGAGAUAGGCUGGACUAAAUCAGUCCGUCCAACAGCUAGUUAUCAAGCGCUUACGGAGUGUAAGGCCCUGUGCUAAGUGCCCCCAGAACAAGUGCCCCUUGUCACUCGUCAUUGAGUGUUCUCCCUGGUUAGAGAAGAUGCUAUGUACUGUGGAGAUGGACAGGGCAUAUCCUAAGUCCACAGAUGCUGGCCCUGUAGGCAGGGAGGGUACAUCCUGUCUGGACGGUGACUCACUCUACAGUUGACGGGCAUGUUGCUGCCUCCUUCGGGGGUUAAAGGGCUUCCCUGGUGGCUCAGAUGGUAAAGUGUCUGCCUGCAACGCGGGAGACCUGGGUUUGAUCCCUGGGUGCGGAAGAUCCUCUGGAGAUGGAAAUGGCAACCCACUCCAGUUUUCUUGCCUAGAAAAUCCAUGGACGGCGGUCACAAAGAGUCGGACACGACUGAGCGACUUCACUCACCCCGGGGGUUAAAUGCAAUUCACCAGCCACAGGGUCGCCUCAAAGAUUAGUGUCCCAUCAAGUCCUCAAAUGAUGCUUUUGAACUGUGGUGUUGGAGAAGACUCUUGAGAGUCCCUUGGACUGCAAGAUCAAACAAGUCAAUCCCAAAGAAAACCAGUCCUGAAUAUUCAUUGGAAGGACUGAUGCUAAAGCUGAAGCUCCAAUACUUUGGCCACCUGAUGUGAAGAACUGACUCAUUUGAAAAGACCCUGAUGCUGGGAAAGAUUGAAGAUGGGAGGAGAAGGGGCCAACAGAGGAUGAGAUGGUUGGAUGGCAUCACUGACUUGAUGGACAUGAAUUUGAGUAAGCUCCAGGACUUGGUGAUGGACAGGGAAGCCUGGCAUGCUGCAGUCCAUGGGGUCGCAGAGUCAUACACAACCGAGUGACUGAACUGAAGUCUUCAAAGUUAGUUUCCAUUGUUGUCAGCUGGGUCCUCUGUAGUGGUAAUCAGCCAGCCAGUUCAGCCUUGAUGAAAGCCCAUGUAGUUGAACUCAUUCAUAGCCUCCAGCCUGUUACUGUAGCCACAGUGUAUGGUUUCUUUGAACAAGCACUGGGGGACUUGGAGGGUGGGGGAGGGAAAGCCAAUAUCCACAGUUUACAAAGACCUCCACUCCACCGAAUGCCUUCUAAGGGGUGUUUACAUGGGGCAAGAUAUCUUCAUAUUAUGUGCCCAUUCAGAAAAAUUCAUCCACAUAACUCCCCACCAGACCACCAUACCUAACCUCUAAUCUUGUUCCUUCUAAGCCCCUGAUUAACUGGUCAGCCCUUUAGCCAGUGUCCAUCAGUCCCUCGUGCUACCUCUACGCACCUACGUGGUAAGCCAGUCAUCCACUGAGAGUUCUAGCAUCUGAGACGAUUCCCCUUUGAAACUGUAUUCCCCUUUGAAACUUUUUUAAAACUGUAUCUUUUUUAUUUUUAGUUUAUCUAUUUAUUGGCUGCACUGCACAGCAUGUGGCAUGUCCCUGACCAGGGAUCAAAUUUGUGCCCCAUGCGUUGGAAGCACAGAGUCUUAACCAUUGGACGGCCAGGGACAUCCCACCACUGUCUUUUGAGAGCUGCACCCGAGCAAGGCUGUAAUACUGGCUUGUGCCAGCCGAUUAUGCAAGUGUCAGAGACUGGGUGUGGGGCAAUCCCGAGUGUGUGGGUGUGGCUUGGGAAGAGGCAAGAGUGCCAUCAAAGCAGGCGCUCUGGGACCUUCAGGCCCAGCCCUGUAGACGCGCUUUCUUUCCUCUUUCCAGUGGGAUACCUCUGUGUGCAUCCAAUUUUAUGGAUCAGAUGACACUCAAUGCAUGAAAGACAAUUCAGAUGACAGUCUGUGGCCUUCAGGGGAAGGUGCAGCCAGCCUGCCAUGAGGGAGCUGGAGCAGGAAGAACCCGACCUCACCCCAUCCCUGCCAGUGCUCCCUACUGGCUAUAUCCGCCCAAAAGACAGAGAGCCCAUUGAUGUGUCUACAUGAGCCAGCCUCUGGGGUCUCCGUGCAGGAUGAAGAGGAGAAAUUCACUGGUUGGGCUGUGAUGGCAGCCUCUAAGAUGGCCCCCACUUACCUCCACCCCCUGGAAUUCACCCCCUGUGUAGUCUUCUCCCAUAUUGUAGUAGGGCUGGUCUGUGUGACCAGUUAAAAUACAGCAGAAAUGAUAAAUGUCAUUCGUUGGUUGGGUUAUGAAAAGGCACUACAGUCUGGGUUUUAGUUGGUGUGGCAUGUAGCUUCCUGAGAUGGCCCUGGGAUCCCUGCCACCUCCUGGGAUUCAUGCCCUGGUGUACAACUCCUUUCCUGGAGUGUAGGCUGGACCAAGUGACUCGAAUCUAAGGAACAGGAUACGGCAAAAGGGGGGAAACCAAGGACCGUGGCUUCCGUCUUGCCUGCACACUCUUUUGCCUUCUUGUUC